UACCAGCACCCCGAGUGGUCGGGACGUUUAUUGGGCCUAAAGCAUCCGUAGCCGGUUCUACAAGUCUUCCGUUAAAUCCACCUGCUUAACAGAUGGGCUGCGGAAGAUACUAUAGAGCUAGGAGGCGGGAGAGGCAAGCGGUACUCGAUGGGUAGGGGUAAAAUCCGUUGAUCCAUUGAAGACCACAAGUGGCGAAGGCGGCUUGCCAGAACGCGCUCGACGGUGAGGGAUGAAAGCUGGGGGAGCAAACCGG
This 253-nucleotide ribosomal RNA is filed under the name uncultured bacterium. Its description in RNAcentral is "partial 16S ribosomal RNA". It matches the Rfam family "Archaeal small subunit ribosomal RNA", at positions 474 to 727 of the family's 1478-position model. The record is from RNAcentral.